This 63-nucleotide transfer RNA is filed under the name Coleoptera sp. 1 AH-2016. RNAcentral describes it as "tRNA-Gly". The record is from RNAcentral. Lineage: Eukaryota; Metazoa; Arthropoda; Insecta; Coleoptera.
AUUUAUAUAAUAUAAUCCAUUAUAUUUGAUUUCCAAUCAAAAUAUCUAGAAAUAGGAUAAAUA